UGUCCUGUGCUAGUUUUGCUUUAGUGAACUAGUCUGGGAGUGACAGUCCUCUUUGUGGUGGUGCAAGAGGAAUGAAAUCUCCAGUCAGUCUUUCUGGGUAUGGCGCUAUGGAAUUGAAACUGUUGAAUUUUUAUUUUGAUGUUGAUCAUCACAUUUUUUUUUUGCAUUUACCAUAGUUUGACACCCAAUAGCCGAUGUAUUUUUCAUGCUGGGGUGUCGUUAAACAUUCGUUCAUUCAUUCAUUCUAUGGAGUUGAAUGCAAUCACAGUGAACAGGGGGAUAUGGGUUAACUUUUAAAAACAAUUCUUCAAAAAUAUUUGGGUAAGGUGCCAUAUCCGUUUUACCCUGGCAGUGAGGGAUCUCCGCGGAGUGACUGUCCUCCUAAUGACGAAAAACUAGAAGGAGAUUCAUGGAAUCAUCCACUAUUUUAGCAAAUGCCCAUUUGCAUUGUACAGAUACAGCCCUGAUCAUGUAUUACGGUUUUGUCGUUUCUUCUUUUGUGAUGUUUUCUCUUGCAGUGUUUGGGAAGCGGGCUGCUCACUGUCAACACGAUACAGACUGUCACUACGGCCAGUGCUGUGAGUCAGGGACGUGCUCACACGCUCACUGUGUGACGACCUAAGUGUGUAAACUGGACAGUGACUGUCCGUCGUACCACUGCUGUGAAAACAGUGUGUGUGUGUCAGAUCAAAGUACCAACACUGCGAAGGUUUUGGACCGAAUAAGUUUUGUUUUGGUGUUUGUUAGGAUUUGUUUAUUGCGUGUUUGGAAAACGAGCUGACCAGUGCAGACAUGAUGAUGACUGUCCUAAUGGAGAAUGCUGUGAUCUCGGGAAUGUCAUCACACCCACUGUGGAUCUUUCCAGGGCUGCACCUCAAGCCGUCAGUGUCACGACACUCACUGCUGUCAUAACGGACAGUGUGUUCACCGAUCUCACGGCUUCUGUUAGAACUUUACGACAUUCAGUAACAGAAUCAAGAACUCAGAAUCUGCCCCAACGAUGUGUACAACAACCAUUAAACACAGACGUAUUGGUUUACAUAUUAUUACAUCUGAGAAAU
Long non-coding RNA from Gigantopelta aegis, 1061 nucleotides. RefSeq lists it as uncharacterized. The record is from RefSeq and is a predicted model, not a curated record. The transcript is spliced from 6 exons. Lineage: Eukaryota; Metazoa; Mollusca; Gastropoda; Neomphalida; Peltospiridae.